RNAcentral lists this long non-coding RNA (663 nucleotides) under Olea europaea (common olive). RNAcentral describes it as "long non-coding RNA (OEUR_LNC009496)". Lineage: Eukaryota; Viridiplantae; Streptophyta; Magnoliopsida; Lamiales; Oleaceae. The record is from RNAcentral.
GAAAUAAAGAAGACAAAAAAAAAAGUCCUUCUACAUUUUGUACAAUAACAUGAGAUUUAUUUACUGUUCAAUGAAAUAGUGUCAUCUCCUUCCCAUUUUUAAGAGAAGUCAGGGGAAAAAAAAAGAAAUUAGUGUUAGAAACAAAAUGAUAAUACCCUCUAAAAAAAAUCAACCUAGAACCACACAAUAAAAUCAAACUAAUAUACAUUCAAUUCAUAGCAAAAUUAUAUAUUUACUUACCAAAAACCCUUGUUUCAAUAAUUUAGAUUCAAACCUCUAUAAAAAGAAAACAAAAAUAGGGAAAGCGAGGAAUAAAAGAAAAAAAGAAAACUGCUAUCAUAGUAUUGUGUCAUAUAGAAAAAAUAUGUUUGUAUAUUUACAAUUGCAUCACAGUGUUGUGUCAUCUAGAAAAAAUAUGGUUAUAUAUUUCAUACUUGAAUAAAAAAUAUACGAGGUUAUAAAAACUAUUUUGCCUGUAUUUUUUGACAGUGUUGAUAUGAUUGAGUUGAAUGUCAAAAUUAUAUUUCUAAAUUUUGUGUAAAUAUUGGAAAAUUGAAGAUUGUAAAUCAACUUGCAUAUUCAUAUGUGUUUAUAUUUUGUGUUUCUUAUAUUUUAAUAAUUAUUUUCUACUUAUUUUGAAAAAAUUAAAAUCUGAAAUUUUUU